UUUUGAAAACUGGACAGGACCAAUUAGUCUGACCUGUUAAGCCUGGAACUGGCCAGCAAUCCAGUCCAGUUUAAUGUAAUUUGUUGACUUAACUAAAAACCAGUCAAAACCAGAUUGACUCACCAAACCCCGCUGAAUUGGUUCCACUAUGUGGUGGUGUUUGAGGGAUUCCAUCUCUAGUCCACAGAAGGCAAAUUUUCUAAUUCCAAAGUUCUCAAUUCUUUAACUCUAAUUCUUUUCCCUCUUUCGUCUUUUCCUAGUCCAGCUCUGCUUUCCCAGUCCUUCAUUGAUCAGUUUUCACAAUGGCUAUGACAUGAUGGUUGGACAACAUUGAAUCUUAGUUGCAAAUCAAUUUGGUCCCUCACAAAUGAUAGAUCAACAAAAUUUCAUUGGGUUCCUUGUUCUGUAGCUGGUGUCCUUUAAGCUCCUUCAUUCUCUAGCGACAUCAUGGCUGUUCUUUGAAUCUCCAGGGAGUUUAGGUGCUUUGCUUUUUUUUUUUUUU
RNAcentral lists this unclassified non-coding RNA (502 nucleotides) under Hevea brasiliensis (rubber tree). The record is from RNAcentral. Lineage: Eukaryota; Viridiplantae; Streptophyta; Magnoliopsida; Malpighiales; Euphorbiaceae.